This is a small nucleolar RNA of Suricata suricatta (meerkat), 154 nucleotides long. Lineage: Eukaryota; Metazoa; Chordata; Mammalia; Carnivora; Herpestidae. The record is from Ensembl.
CCUGCACAUUGUUGGAGCUUGGAGUUGAGGCCUAUGGCUGGCUGAUGAGCUCACAAGUAUAGGUCGUGUGCUCUCUAAGGGGUAAGUCCUUUGCUGACACCACAAGGGUCUCUGGCCCAGUGAAUGGAAAUCGAUAGUAAUUCUUGCUACAAGU